GGGGGGGGGGGGGGGGGGGGGGGGGGGGGGGGGGGCGGGCGGGGGGGGCCUGCGGGGGGGGGGGGCGGGGGUGGCGGGCGGGGGAGUAACACGUGAGGAACCUGCCCUUGACUUUGGGGUAACUUCAGGAAACUGGGGCUAAUACCGGAUCGGAGCUCCGGCUGCAGGGUGGGGGUUGGAAAGUUUCGGCGGGUGGGGAUGGACUCGCGGCUUAUCAGGUUGUUGGUGGGGGUGGGGCUUACCAAGGCUUUGGCGGGUAGCCGGCCUGAGAGGGUGACCGGCCACAUUGGGACUGAGAUACGGCCCAGACUCCUACGGGAGGCAGCAGUGGGGAAUAUUGCACAAUGGGCGGAAGCCUGAUGCAGCAACGCCGCGUGCGGGAUGACGGCCUUCGGGUUGUAAACCGCUUUCGCCUGUGACGAAGCGUGAGUGACGGUAAUGGGUAAAGAAGCACCGGCUAACUACGUG
Molecule: ribosomal RNA, 468 nt
Filed under: uncultured bacterium
Lineage: Bacteria
Description: partial 16S ribosomal RNA
Rfam family: Bacterial small subunit ribosomal RNA
Source: RNAcentral